RNAcentral lists this ribosomal RNA (373 nucleotides) under uncultured organism. RNAcentral's name for it is "partial 16S ribosomal RNA". It matches the Rfam family "Bacterial small subunit ribosomal RNA", at positions 527 to 896 of the family's 1533-position model. The record is from RNAcentral.
GUAGGUGGCAAGCGUUGUCCGGAAUUAUUGGGCGUAAAGCGCGCGCAGGCGGGUUCUUUAAGUCUGAUGUGAAAGCCCACGGGCUCAACCGUGGAGGGUCAUUGGAAACUGGAGAACUUGAGUACAGAAGAGGAAAGCGGAAUUCCACGUGUAGCGGUGAAAUGCGUAGAGAUGUGGAGGAACACCAGUGGCGAAGGCGGCUUUCUGGUCUGUAACUGACGCUGAGGCGCGAAAGCGUGGGGAGCAAACAGGAUUAGAUACCCUGGUAGUCCACGCCGUAAACGAUGAGUGCUAAGUGUUAGGGGGUUUCCGCCCCUUAGUGCUGCAGUUAACGCAUUAAGCACUCCGCCUGGGGAGUACGGCCGCAAGGCUG